This is a non-coding RNA of Oryctolagus cuniculus (rabbit), 1081 nucleotides long. NCBI's taxonomy places the organism in Eukaryota, Metazoa, Chordata, Mammalia, Lagomorpha, Leporidae. The record is from RefSeq and is a predicted model, not a curated record.
CCCUGUCCAAGAGCCUGCACCAGCCGUGACAGACGGCUGGCUAGGCUCAUCAAGUUCAAGCUCCCAGCUCUUCUGCUCACCUGUUUCCAAGAUCCUCCUUCCCAAGCCUUGUCCUGUUCACUGGCCACUAUUCGGUCUCCUCACUCUUGGAAGCCCUCAGCCAGUCUCCCUGCUGUGAGUGUCCACAUGACUCAAUUCUGGCCAAUAAUUUGCCAAGGGACGCCUGUUAGAAUGCUAUCCAGAGCUACGGCAGCCGCCUUGUGACAAGUACAAGGACAAAGCCCUUCCAUGCAGCCCAUGCAAAGAAGGAAUACAGAUCCUGGGAGGCAGCAGUGAUGGCUCAAAUCCCUGGGUUCCUGCCACUCACACUUGGGAGAUUUGGAUUGAGUUCCCAGCUCCUUGCCCUGGCCCAAGCCCAUCCCCAGCCAUGGUACUCUGUCACUUCCUGUAGUAAAAUGAAGCAACUUCUUUUGAAGAUCGAGAGGAAAUCCAAGCACAACAUCCCAAAAGUAUCUACAGAGCACCAAGAGAGAUACACAUGAAAUACCUUGACAAAAAUCCUGCAGAGCUUAAUAAAGUAAAAACUUCCCUUAAACAUAUGGAAUACCCUUAAUGUAAAAUUAAGAAAUGAUGAUAUUCCAUAUUUGAAUUAGACCUCCGACUAACAUGUAAAAUAAAACUUUUAUAAAAUUAUGUUAGUACAACAGUAGAUAGUGUACAAGCUAUUUUUCUUCUAUAUAAUUUACAAAUCUUAUUUUGUCAACAUAGCACUAUUAAAAUAUUACACAUGGGGCUGACACCUUGGCAUAGUGGGUAAUGCUGCCGCCUGCAAUGCCAGCAUCCCAUAUGGACUCUGGUUCGAGUUUUGGCUGCUCCACUUCUGAUCCAGCUCUCUGUGAUGGCCUGGGAAAGCAGUGGAAGAUGGCCCAAGUCUUGGGCCCCUGAAUCCACGUGGGAGACCCAGAGGAAGCUUCUGGUUCCUGGCUUUGGAUCGGCUCAGCUCCGGCUGUUGAGGCCAUCUAGGGAGUGAACCAGUGAUGGAAUACCUCUCUCUCCGCCUCUGCCUCUCUGUAACACUGCC